Long non-coding RNA from Sebastes umbrosus (honeycomb rockfish), 1178 nucleotides. RefSeq lists it as uncharacterized. The transcript has 3 exons. The record is from RefSeq and is a predicted model, not a curated record. NCBI's taxonomy places the organism in Eukaryota, Metazoa, Chordata, Actinopteri, Perciformes, Sebastidae.
UUGCCUAAACCUAACUUCCUGUGAAAACGGAAGUUUAUUUUGAAAGGACACCAUGCAUGUAACAAGCAUAUAUUGACACGCCGUCUCUGGUCCGUCCAAAAGUAACGCAAGAGGGGUACCCCGCACGUCGGUCUCCAAUGCCAAGGGGAACUGACCAAGCGGCGGUAUUUGACGAGUUGGGAGUGAGAAAGUGUUGACUUAGCCCGGUCUCCUAAAAAUGAUGUUCCCAUACAACUUAAAUGUAUUCUCAAUUACGUUUGGAAGGAAACGUAUUUUGUCACGAAGUCCGUUUGUCUUUCAGUCGAGGCAGAUGGCCGCCCACCCAGAGCCGGGUUCUGCCCGAGGUUUCUACCCGCUGGAGGGGAGUUUUUUCUUGCCAUUGUUGCAUAACAAUUCAAUGCUCAUGGGGGAUCUCUUGUUGGGUCUCUAAAUUAGUUAUUAAAUGAAUAUGGUCUAGACCUGCUCUAUAUGAAAAGCCUCUCAAUAUAACUUCUGUAAUGAUUUGACGCUAAAUAAAAAUAUUAGUAUCACAAAUACUUUUGUAAGUCUGCAGACGGCUUGAAUGAAGGCGUUCAAAGUUGGCCCCACCUCCCCGGCUCAACGAGGGUUACGGUGCUUCCCAGCGGGUGAAAGCCAACCUCAGAUUCACUCUCGUUUUGGAACGAGCUUUGUCUGCUUGGCGUUUCGCCCUGCUUUUUUUCCAGGGAGUUUAUUCGGCAUUGUGUCCGCUGUUUACGUAGCUUUCUCUUGGACGCGUGCUUACGGUCUGGCACCUGGUCGCUACAUUUUUAAUGAGGUUGACGAAAAGGGGUCUAUAGCUGGGAACGUAGCAGCGCAGUGUGUGUACGGUUUAUUUGUUCGUGAAUAAAUGCUACAACUCCUCAAGACCCAAGCUAAGUUCCUGUGUCUUGCUUGCCACCUGCUGAUUAAAGUGAAGGGAAACCAGGCUCACUUAAGGUGGACUGACCUUUAAGGUGGACCAGCUAUUCUCAUUUUAGUACGCACAAAAAGUACCAAAGUAAGUACCAAAAACUAUCAAAUAUCAAGAGUUGGUAUCAAAUUCUUGGUCAGAUUCUUAAGGCGUUUUUAGUUAUUAGUUAUUCCGCGAUCAAUUUCCUGACCCAAAUCAGGAAAAGAGUUAGUUGAUUAAUCGAUUAUUGAUCAACAGAUAAUGAAUG